Small nuclear RNA from Athalia rosae (coleseed sawfly), 125 nucleotides. RefSeq annotates it as U5 spliceosomal RNA. NCBI's taxonomy places the organism in Eukaryota, Metazoa, Arthropoda, Insecta, Hymenoptera, Athaliidae. The record is from RefSeq and is a predicted model, not a curated record. The transcript has a single exon.
UCACUCUGGUUUCCCUUCAAUACACGUAUAAAUCUUUCGCCUUUUACUAAAGAUUUCCGUGGAGGGGAACGACUUGAUGAGUCUAUAGACCAAUUUUUAAACCUGCCCUGAUGCAAAUCGGGGCG